AGCGGCCCAGCUGGUCUGCCAUGUGUGCCUGGCUUGGGUAAAGGUAGCGCUGCGAGUGCCUGUGUUAGCUCUGGGUUUGAGAGCUCCUGUGUCUUGUGUGUCCCAGAGCUUGAAUUGAGCGUUAAGAGCUGCUACCCCUGUUGGCACAGCAGACCAGGCAGCCAGAAUUCCCCUCGUGCUUCCCCUGUGCCCCCGCUCACCGCAGGAGUGAGGUUGAACGCCAGUAACGUCACCCUUGGGCUGCGAGGUGGGUCGGCGUGGGAUGGGCUCUGCCGCCAUGGGGCAGCUUGCUUUGCUCUUCCAGAGCCCGAAUGUUUAACUGUGGCACCUCGGGAAAGAAAUUCGAGGGGCAGAGCUGGGGUCUUGGUUCUCCUGGACCCUUUGCACUCGUGCUCCGAAGCACCGAAAACCAGGGCGAGCUUGGCACUAUGUCCAGGACUGCCCUGUGACUGCGGUGGGGUGGCUGUUGGCCUGAGCCUGCAACUCGUUUUCCGUGAAAGCUCCUCGGAGGAAGAAUUGUCUCCCUUGGAAAACUGGCUUGUCUUCCAUCAAGUGGGAGAAGGUGGCACUGGUCUGCAGCUGGCCUUUAUGGGCGAGCACAGCGUAAAUACGGAUUACCGGGUAGGGACCAAAGCUUCUGAGACAGAAAAACAGUCAGUUGGGAUUGCUUCUUGAAUCUCCGUCUCAGUGUAGCUCAGCUGCUCUUUCAUUGCAAAAAUAAGGAUGGUGGUGACUUUUUUUUUUUUUUUAAUUUUGGAGCUGUUUGCUGAUGUGACUAAAGCUGCAGCAGUGUUUUGAGAGCGUAGGGUUCAGGCGCUUCCCCGCUGCGGUUCCGGGAGGCUGUUUGCGAUGCCUUCCCUUUGCUAUCCCGUGCUUGCACAGUCUAAGCAUUGCAUUUUCAAUGCACCUUUGUGAGGGGGUGUGCGUGAGCAAAACCAGUUUGUGUCUCUAAAUGUGCUCUGUGCCCACCUGGGAGCCCUCCCCCUAGCCCUGGUUGUUUUGGAGCAUCUCUGCUGGCGCUUGGAGGGGAGUCUGGCGCCUGUCAGCGCCGCAGGCGUGGUGGCGCUGCCCGGGCCGUGGCUGUGGCGGGAGCUGUGGCCUCCAUUUGUAUCCGCGCCUUCAACUCCCGCAGCCAAGGCGCUUUCCCUGCUCCGGGCUCAGCCCGGGGGUGUUUCCAUCUCCUCGGCGGGGCGCAGCCUUGGCUCCCGGCGCUACACACGCCCUGCGGCCGGCUCCUGCUGGGGCUGCGGCCCCGGGGCGGAGGGGGGGCGCGGGAAGGGGGCGAGGGCCGCAGCCCCCGUCUCCCUCCGUCCCCCUCACGCCCCUGCCCCUCUCAAAGAUGGCGGCCGCCUGGCUGCCGCCCCCCUCCUCCGACGUGGCCGCGGGGCCCGGCCCCGCCCCUCCCGGCCCCUCCCUGCCCUGCUCAAAGAUGGCCCCGGGGCAGCCACGCCCCCCGCUCCACGUGGGGCCGUGCGGCCGUGCGGCGGCGCCUCCCGGCAGGACGCGCGCGGCGCGAUGGUCGCGCGGGGGCUCCGCGCGCUGCGCUG
This is a long non-coding RNA of Apteryx haastii (Great spotted kiwi), 1547 nucleotides long. Lineage: Eukaryota; Metazoa; Chordata; Aves; Apterygiformes; Apterygidae. The record is from Ensembl.